ACGGGAGGCAGCAGUGGGGGAUAUUGCACAAUGGGGGAAACCCUGAUGCAGCGACGCCGCGUGAGUGAUGAAGUAUUUCGGUAUGUAAAGCUCUAUCAGCAGGGAAGAAAAUGACGGUACCUGACUAAGAAGCACCGGCUAAAUACGUGCCAGCAGCCGCGGUAAUACGUAUGGAGCAAGCGUUAUCCGGAUUUACUGGGUGUAAAGGGAGCGUAGACGGGACAGCAAGUCUGAUGUGAAAGGCAGGGGCUUAACCCCUGGACUGCAUUGGAAACUGCAGACCUUGAGUGCCGGAGAGGUAAGCGGAGUUCCUAGUGUAGCGGUGAAAUGCGUAGAUAUUAGGAGGAACACCAGUGGCGAAGGCGGCUUACUGGACGGUAACUGACGUUGAGGCUCGAAAGCGUGGGGAGCAAACAGGAUUAGAUACCCUGGUA
This 434-nucleotide ribosomal RNA is filed under the name uncultured Lachnospiraceae bacterium. Its description in RNAcentral is "partial 16S ribosomal RNA". It matches the Rfam family "Bacterial small subunit ribosomal RNA", at positions 341 to 792 of the family's 1533-position model. The record is from RNAcentral. Lineage: Bacteria; Bacillati; Bacillota; Clostridia; Lachnospirales; Lachnospiraceae.